This 547-nucleotide unclassified non-coding RNA is filed under the name Hevea brasiliensis (rubber tree). Lineage: Eukaryota; Viridiplantae; Streptophyta; Magnoliopsida; Malpighiales; Euphorbiaceae. The record is from RNAcentral.
UAAUUUUCCAUUUCUAUCAAGAUUUCAAAAUCCUUAUUCACAUCAGAAUACCUCAGUCACCGGAGCUCCAAAACAUCACCAUUUCUCGAUCAAGUUUCUAUCUUUUUCUAGUUUUAUAUUCUUCUCUUACCAAAGUCUUCCUUAGUUUUGGGAACAUUUCAGUUCUACGUACCGUUCGCUCUUUCUGAUCCUUUGCUUCUGAUCUCAAGCUCCGUACGCAGCCCAGUUGGGCAGAUUGAGAUGGGUAUAUACCUCAGCUCUCCUAAAACAGAGAAAUUCUCAGAGGAUGGUGAGAAUGAUAGGCUCAGAUAUGGUCUGUCAUCCAUGCAAGGUUGGCGUGCAACAAUGGAAGAUUCUCAUGCUGCACUGCCUGAUUUGGAUGCUUCCACUUCAUUCUUUGGUGUUUAUGACGGCCAUGGGGGUAAAGUAGUUGCAAAAUUUUGUGCGAAGUUUCUUCAUCAGCAGGUCCUGAGGAGUGAAGCAUAUUCAGCUGGAGAUAUUGGAACUUCUGUGCAGAAAGCAUUUUUCAGAAUGGAUGAGAUGAUGC